Molecule: ribosomal RNA, 1536 nt
Filed under: Klebsiella pneumoniae
Lineage: Bacteria; Pseudomonadati; Pseudomonadota; Gammaproteobacteria; Enterobacterales; Enterobacteriaceae
Description: bacterial SSU rRNA
Rfam family: Bacterial small subunit ribosomal RNA
Source: RNAcentral
UUGAAGAGUUUGAUCAUGGCUCAGAUUGAACGCUGGCGGCAGGCCUAACACAUGCAAGUCGAGCGGUAGCACAGAGAGCUUGCUCUCGGGUGACGAGCGGCGGACGGGUGAGUAAUGUCUGGGAAACUGCCUGAUGGAGGGGGAUAACUACUGGAAACGGUAGCUAAUACCGCAUAAUGUCGCAAGACCAAAGUGGGGGACCUUCGGGCCUCAUGCCAUCAGAUGUGCCCAGAUGGGAUUAGCUAGUAGGUGGGGUAACGGCUCACCUAGGCGACGAUCCCUAGCUGGUCUGAGAGGAUGACCAGCCACACUGGAACUGAGACACGGUCCAGACUCCUACGGGAGGCAGCAGUGGGGAAUAUUGCACAAUGGGCGCAAGCCUGAUGCAGCCAUGCCGCGUGUGUGAAGAAGGCCUUCGGGUUGUAAAGCACUUUCAGCGGGGAGGAAGGCGAUAAGGUUAAUAACCUUGUCGAUUGACGUUACCCGCAGAAGAAGCACCGGCUAACUCCGUGCCAGCAGCCGCGGUAAUACGGAGGGUGCAAGCGUUAAUCGGAAUUACUGGGCGUAAAGCGCACGCAGGCGGUCUGUCAAGUCGGAUGUGAAAUCCCCGGGCUUAACCUGGGAACUGCAUUCGAAACUGGCAGGCUAGAGUCUUGUAGAGGGGGGUAGAAUUCCAGGUGUAGCGGUGAAAUGCGUAGAGAUCUGGAGGAAUACCGGUGGCGAAGGCGGCCCCCUGGACAAAGACUGACGCUCAGGUGCGAAAGCGUGGGGAGCAAACAGGAUUAGAUACCCUGGUAGUCCACGCCGUAAACGAUGUCGAUUUGGAGGUUGUGCCCUUGAGGCGUGGCUUCCGGAGCUAACGCGUUAAAUCGACCGCCUGGGGAGUACGGCCGCAAGGUUAAAACUCAAAUGAAUUGACGGGGGCCCGCACAAGCGGUGGAGCAUGUGGUUUAAUUCGAUGCAACGCGAAGAACCUUACCUGGUCUUGACAUCCACAGAACUUUCCAGAGAUGGAUUGGUGCCUUCGGGAACUGUGAGACAGGUGCUGCAUGGCUGUCGUCAGCUCGUGUUGUGAAAUGUUGGGUUAAGUCCCGCAACGAGCGCAACCCUUAUCCUUUGUUGCCAGCGGUCCGGCCGGGAACUCAAAGGAGACUGCCAGUGAUAAACUGGAGGAAGGUGGGGAUGACGUCAAGUCAUCAUGGCCCUUACGACCAGGGCUACACACGUGCUACAAUGGCAUAUACAAAGAGAAGCGACCUCGCGAGAGCAAGCGGACCUCAUAAAGUAUGUCGUAGUCCGGAUUGGAGUCUGCAACUCGACUCCAUGAAGUCGGAAUCGCUAGUAAUCGUAGAUCAGAAUGCUACGGUGAAUACGUUCCCGGGCCUUGUACACACCGCCCGUCACACCAUGGGAGUGGGUUGCAAAAGAAGUAGGUAGCUUAACCUUCGGGAGGGCGCUUACCACUUUGUGAUUCAUGACUGGGGUGAAGUCGUAACAAGGUAACCGUAGGGGAACCUGCGGUUGGAUCACCUCCUU